UGAGAAUUGCGGCAGCUAUACAUGCAGUCGAGCGAAUGGAUUAAGAGCUUGCUCUUAUGAAGUUAGCGGCGGACGGGUGAGUAACACGUGGGUAACCUGCCCAUAAGACUGGGAUAACUCCGGGAAACCGGGGCUAAUACCGGAUAACAUUUUGAACCGCAUGGUUCGAAAUUGAAAGGCGGCUUCGGCUGUCACUUAUGGAUGGACCCGCGUCGCAUUAGCUAGUUGGUGAGGUAACGGCUCACCAAGGCAACGAUGCGUAGCCGACCUGAGAGGGUGAUCGGCCACACUGGGACUGAGACACGGCCCAGACUCCUACGGGAGGCAGCAGUAGGGAAUCUUCCGCAAUGGACGAAAGUCUGACGGAGCAACGCCGCGUGAGUGAUGAAGGCUUUCGGGUCGUAAAACUCUGUUGUUAGGGAAGAACAAGUGCUAGUUGAAUAAGCUGGCACCUUGACGGUACCUAACCAGAAAGCCACGGCUAACUACGUGCCAGCAGCCGCGGUAAUACGUAGGUGGCAAGCGUUAUCCGGAAUUAUUGGGCGUAAAGCGCGCGCAGGUGGUUUCUUAAGUCUGAUGUGAAAGCCCACGGCUCAACCGUGGAGGGUCAUUGGAAACUGGGAGACUUGAGUGCAGAAGAGGAAAGUGGAAUUCCAUGUGUAGCGGUGAAAUGCGUAGAGAUAUGGAGGAACACCAGUGGCGAAGGCGACUUUCUGGUCUGUAACUGACACUGAGGCGCGAAAGCGUGGGGAGCAAACAGGAUUAGAUACCCUGGUAGUCCACGCCGUAAACGAUGAGUGCUAAGUGUUAGAGGGUUUCCGCCCUUUAGUGCUGAAGUUAACGCAUUAAGCACUCCGCCUGGAGAGUACGGCCGCAAGGCUGAGACUCAAAGGAAUUGACGGGGGCCCGCACAAGCGGUGGAGCAUGUGGUUUAUUUCAAAGCAACGCGAAGAAUCUUACCAGGUCUUGACAUCCUCUGACAACCCUAGAGAUAGGGCUUCUCCUUCGGGAGCAGAGUGACAGGUGGUGCAUGGUUGUCGUCACCUCAGGCCAGGAAUGUUGGGUUUAACCCCCCAAACAACCCCACCCCUUGAUCUUUUUCCCUUUUUUAAGUGGAGCCUCAAAGGGGGCUGGCGGGGAACAACCCGAAGAAAGGGGGGGAAUCACGUAAACUUCUGCCCCUUUAUACCCGGGGCUCAGACUGG
This 1205-nucleotide ribosomal RNA is filed under the name Bacillus cereus. RNAcentral describes it as "bacterial SSU rRNA". It matches the Rfam family "Bacterial small subunit ribosomal RNA", at positions 30 to 1224 of the family's 1533-position model. The record is from RNAcentral. Lineage: Bacteria; Bacillati; Bacillota; Bacilli; Caryophanales; Bacillaceae.